This is a long non-coding RNA of Hydra vulgaris (swiftwater hydra), 401 nucleotides long. RefSeq lists it as uncharacterized. NCBI's taxonomy places the organism in Eukaryota, Metazoa, Cnidaria, Hydrozoa, Anthoathecata, Hydridae. The record is from RefSeq and is a predicted model, not a curated record.
CUGAAUACAGUUCCAAAGUUUAACAUUCAAGUUUUAUCUUGUCAGAAUUAAUCUAAAUCAGUUUAAACUGGUAUACCAAUUACACGUUUUAACUACCUUUUUAAGGCCAGGUAUGGUAAAGAUAAGAAGCAAUAUGUCGUAAGCAAAAACUAGAGAAAUAGUGAAAGAUACACCAAAUAUUUUGAAGUUCUUACGGUCAUAUCGCAGAGCACCGCGGAAGAGCAUUUAACCAAGGAGUUGACACCUCCUUCCUUACCAAUGUCGCUUGGACAUGGACUAGAGCCUGAUUCGAACUUUGGACCUCUUGGUUACCAGGCUACACAAACUUUCUUCAAAACACUUUUGAAAUAUAAUAAGUUUAGGAAGGUUAUAUUUUAUAGUUAUAGCAAUAGUAGAUUAAA